UUCCAGAGCCAUCAAGACUCCUUGAAAAUAUU
RNAcentral lists this non-coding RNA (32 nucleotides) under Rattus norvegicus (Norway rat). The record is from RNAcentral. Lineage: Eukaryota; Metazoa; Chordata; Mammalia; Rodentia; Muridae.